GAUGAAGAAUGUAGCGAAAUGCGAUACGUAAUGUGAAUUGCAGAAUUCAGUGAAUCAUCGAAUCUUUGAACGCAUAUUGCGCUCUCUGGUAUUCCGGAGAGCAUGCUUGUUUGAGUAUCAGUAAACACCUCAACUUCCAUAUCUUUUUUGAAAUGGGAGUUGGACUUGAGUGAUCCCAACGCUUUUCCUCACCGAAAAGUGGCGGGUUACUUGAAAUGCAGGUGCAGCUGGACUUUUCUCUGAGCUAUAAGCAUAUCUAUUUAGUCUGCCUAAAAAACAGAUUAUUACCUUUGCUGCAGCUAACAUAAAGGAGAUUAGUUCUUGUGCUGACUGAUGCAGGAUUCACAAAGACAGGCUUCGGCCGACUUUGUAAACUCGAUCUCAAAUCAAGUAAGACUACCCGCUGAACUUAAGCAUAUCAUAAGCGGAGGA
RNAcentral lists this unclassified non-coding RNA (432 nucleotides) under soil metagenome. RNAcentral describes it as "partial contains 5.8S ribosomal RNA, internal transcribed spacer 2, and large subunit ribosomal RNA". The stretch from base 1 to 120 matches the Rfam family "5.8S ribosomal RNA", at positions 35 to 154 of the family's 154-position model. The record is from RNAcentral.